UACGUAGGUGGCAAGCGGUGUCCGGAAUUAUUGGGCGUAAAGCGCGCGCAGGCGGCCUCUUAAGUCUGAUGUGAAAGCCCCCGGCUCAACCGGGGAGGGCCAUUGGAAACUGGGAGGCUUGAGUAUAGGAGAGAAGAGUGGAAUUCCACGUGUAGCGGUGAAAUGUGUAGAGAUGUGGAGGAACACCAGUGGCGAAGGCGACUCUUUGGCCUAUAACUGACGCUGAGGCGCGAAAGCGUGGGGAGCAAACAGG
RNAcentral lists this ribosomal RNA (253 nucleotides) under uncultured bacterium. RNAcentral describes it as "partial 16S ribosomal RNA". It matches the Rfam family "Bacterial small subunit ribosomal RNA", at positions 524 to 776 of the family's 1533-position model. The record is from RNAcentral.